Molecule: ribosomal RNA, 253 nt
Filed under: uncultured bacterium
Lineage: Bacteria
Description: partial 16S ribosomal RNA
Rfam family: Bacterial small subunit ribosomal RNA
Source: RNAcentral
UACGAAGGGUGCAAGCGUUAAUCGGAAUUACUGGGCGUAAAGCGUGCGUAGGCGGUUUCUUAAGUCUGCUGUGAAAGCCCUGGGCUCAACCUGGGAAUGGCGGUGGAUACUGAGAAGCUGGAGUACGGUAGAGGAAGGUGGAAUUCCCGGUGUAGCGGUGAAAUGCGUAGAGAUCGGGAGGAACAUCAGUGGCGAAGGCGGCCUUCUGGACCAGUACUGACGCUGAGGUACGAAAGCGUGGGGAGCAAACAGG